Molecule: small RNA, 72 nt
Filed under: Xanthomonas fragariae
Lineage: Bacteria; Pseudomonadati; Pseudomonadota; Gammaproteobacteria; Lysobacterales; Lysobacteraceae
Description: sX9 sRNA
Rfam family: Xanthomonas sRNA sX9
Source: RNAcentral
AUGUACCCCUCGUACACUGCUGUUCCUCCGCGCCGCACCCACUUGUCGACUGCUCGCUACGUUUUGUCAGUU